GACAAGCUUGCUGGGCAAUACUAUUUGGAUAGAGCUCAGUAUUUGGUGCAAAGGCAAGGUUGGUUAGGAAAAGAAGCUUGGAUUGUUGUAGUUGAUGAGUGGUGCAGUGAAGAGUGGAUUGCAAAAUCAAAGAAAUACCGUGCCAAUCGUUGCAGCUCAAAGUUCAAGCCUCACAAGGGUGGUUCCAACUCGAUGACUACUAUAAGUCAAAAAAUGUCCGAACAAACCGGCGAAGAUGUUAACCAGAUUCAGGCUUGGGUGCAUACACAUAGAGGAUUGGACAAGAGCAAACCUUUAAUUCUCAACACACCAGAAGCAACUAAAUGUUUGGCACUUUACACAGAAAAGGCUAAAGAGUUAAAUGGAUAG
This 369-nucleotide ribosomal RNA is filed under the name Triticum aestivum (bread wheat). RNAcentral describes it as "partial small subunit ribosomal RNA". Lineage: Eukaryota; Viridiplantae; Streptophyta; Magnoliopsida; Poales; Poaceae. The record is from RNAcentral.